AGUGAACGCUGGCGGUAGGCCUAACACAUGCAAGUCGAACGGCAGCACAGUAAGAGCUUGCUCUUACGGGUGGCGAGUGGCGGACGGGUGAGGAAUACAUCGGAAUCUACUUUUUCGUGGGGGAUAACGUAGGGAAACUUACGCUAAUACCGCAUACGACCUACGGGUGAAAGCAGGGGAUCUUCGGACCUUGCGCGAUUGAAUGAGCCGAUGUCGGAUUAGCUAGUUGGCGGGGUAAAGGCCCACCAAGGCGACGAUCCGUAGCUGGUCUGAGAGGAUGAUCGCAACCAGUGGAAAUGAGACAGGGUCAGGACCCCCAGGGGGGACAGAAGGGGGGAAUAUUGGAAAAUGGGCGGAAGCCUGAUCCAGCCAUACCGCGUGGGUGAAGGAGGCCUUCGGGUUGUAAAGCCCUUUUGUUGGGAAAAAAAAGCAGAAGGUUAAUACCCCGCUGUUCUGACGGUACCAAAAGAAUAAGCACCGGUGAACUUCGU
RNAcentral lists this ribosomal RNA (491 nucleotides) under uncultured bacterium. RNAcentral's name for it is "partial 16S ribosomal RNA". It matches the Rfam family "Bacterial small subunit ribosomal RNA", at positions 29 to 506 of the family's 1533-position model. The record is from RNAcentral.